GGGAAAAUCUGUAAUGUUUGGAGAAGACAAGAUGGCGCUGGUUACCUCGUGUUAUAUCAAAGGGCAUUUUUGUUCACAAAUACCCGCUUAUUUUACGUCAUAGCGACUGGUUAGUUUUGGAAAUUAUAACUCAAUGGACGAGGAAACGAUUCUGUAUCAAAGAGAAGAAGAUGUGCAGUUAUUGUGAUGUUAUUUGUUGUGAAAGAGGGCCCGAAAUUUCGCUACAUCGCAGUACUGGUUUAUCAAACAUUUACAAGCAACAGCAAUUGAACUAUAUGACAAAGAAACCAAUGUGUACAAGCCAAUCAAGUUCUUCAGUUUAAAGGUUAGUUUACUUUUUAAUAAUUAGUUCAUUUAGUUGUAUAUUAAUACGAAUUACGAAGUACUGGAUACUAGUAAAAACUUACGAAGUGGCUAGAUUCGCCAGGGUGCAUUCCAUGUAAACUCUACGCCGGAGAUGCGCCAACAUGUACGAUCCUUCACGCCAAUACAUUGGAGAUUUUUAAUUUUGGGGACUUCCAUGUUUUAAAAAUAGCUAAUAUGGUGCGUUUUUAAUAUGUACUGCAUGUGAACAUCAUAUUCGUGUAGUUAUACUGUCAAUUUACAUGUGGUCAUGAAAUCAGGCACAAACUAAUAACUUGUUUUCGAGUGAUAUUACGCCAACAAUUUUGUAACCUCACGCCGGAUAUAUCAGGCGUGGAAUGCACACUGGUCUAUUCUUACUGGAACAGUACGCCGAGUUUGAUUUGCUAUUCGUACUGCAAUCGUAAUAUUUAAGGUAAACCCAACCCCAAACCCUUCUCUAACCCUAACCAAUAAAGGCCUAAUAAACUUAUUUGAAAGUUUUUUAUUUCGAGAAAUUUUUUUUAAAAUAUUUUAAGAAAAAUUUCUAAGUCAAACAGACAACCGACGGCUAAAACUAAACCCGGACCUAGACCGCGAGUGGUCCCUCGAAGAAACGAGGGACCUCAGACAACACAGCAAGAAACGAAAUACGCCCACUUUUCCCUCUUGUCAAAUUGGCUCCGCCUUUGCAUAAACAUUACUAUAUCCAAUUAAAUCUAUCCAAUAGGAAACCGUUAACGUCAUGUUUAUUUUAAUACAGGGUAUAUAAAAAAAGGUAAUCGAACUUCAGCGCGCUAUUGUACGUGAAUUACUCGGCGUAUGAACUUUUUUUUCAUAUUCGAAAAGAUGAGGUUUUUAACUGUUGAAUGACAUGUUUUCAUGCCAAAUGGAGAAAAAGUAAGCAAGUACGAGUCCGAUAAAAAAUGUUAGUCAGAAUCGCAUAUUACAACGGUAAAAAUAUGCGAUCUGACUAGCAUUUUUUAUCAGACUCAUACUUGCUUAUUUUUUAUCCAUUUGGUAUGAAGAACAUAUCAUUCAACAGCUAAAAGCCUGGUCUUUCCGAAGAUGAAAAAAUCUCGUUCAUACGCAGUAAUUCAGACACAAUAGCGCGCUGACGUUUGAUUACUUUUAUUUUGACACACCCUGUAUAAAAUCAACAUUUAUUCUGGAAAUUAUUUAUAGCAUAAUUAUUACAUAUCAGAUUUGAUUGACAGGCAUAUCGAUUUCGACCAAUGGGAAUUUUCCGUUGUGUGGGCAACAGGGAUUUCAUUUCUUACUGUGUUGUCUGCAGUCCCUCCUUUCCAAUCUCGUGCCCGGAAAUCUAAACCCGCGGAAAGGAGGGACCGCUCACAGUCUAACCCGGACCCGACCUCAUUUCACUUCGCACACACACACAACGCCUUUGCUGAAUCCACUACCAGCCUGAAUUGCUGAAAGCUAUUGCAAAAAACUAUUUUAUAUUACUACUUUACAAAAUGUAAGAAUCGGGUGCCAUACUUCAGUACGAUUAUUGGGUCGUACUAAUUACCGACAACAAGCACAAAAUUACCGACAACAAGCUGACAAUUACCGACAACAAGCUGAAAAAUACCGACAACAAGCAAAUACAUACUUUCAUUGUAUUAUAGUUAUUUGGUUGUUUUUGAGGAAACCCAAAAUAUAUAAGUUCGACAGAUUUUGUCAAACAUUGUUGAGUUAAAACAUUCCGCUAUUAAAGAUGAUGGAUUCGCGUAGGCAGACACCAUAUAAAAGUAUAGAUAGGAAACAAAAUUUCAAGUAGAAAAUCAGUAUUAACUACCCUAUUAUCUAUAAUAAUAUAACUACCAACUUCUAUAAAGUGUGUAUGUGUAUACUGUAUAAUGUGUCUAAAAUGUUUAAUAGUAACGAACAGAAACAAGCUAUAAAUUAUUUACAUCAAUUCAUGUAUGUAUUUGGGUUUCCUCAAAAACAGCCAUGCAUUCAUACAAAUAACUAUAAGAAUACAAUGAAAGUAUGUAUUUGCUGGUUGUCUGUAUUUUUCAGCUUGUUGUUGGUAAUUGUCAGCUUAUUGUCACAGUAAUUCUGUGCUUGUUGUCAGUAAUAGUCUGCUUGUUGUCAGUUGUUGAUGGUAGUUGUCGGUAAUUAGUACGACCACGAUUAUUAGUUUAAUUAAUCAAAAAAUCAUUUAUGUCACAUUUGGUACGUUUUACGAUUGAUCACGAAGAUCAGCGGAUAUUUCUAUACGCUUUCUAGAUAUUUACUAUUGAAUUUAACAAACUUUCCAGUCAGGCAAAGUUCUACCCCACACCAUGGAAUUUCAUUUCAGCACCCUAUAUCAUUCUAGAAUACCUGUAUUAAUCAUUUCAGCAACUUCGGCUAGCUUGUGUUGUUUUUGCUAAAUACCGCUCACAGGCUGUUGUCCAAGGGGGCACCCUCUGUCAUUAACCCCCUCGCCACAUUGCAACAUUAACAAAACAAUCGACCCCACUGCCUCAAAACUCUCUGCCCCUGUCAUACAGCAAACUCCUAGCCAUCUUCCACAACAGAUGUCGAGGGCCAAAUAAUUUCUUACUAUGGACCGUCUACACGAUGUGAUGUUUGCUUACAAUUGUUGUAUGCAACUUGCUGACCCCAUCCCUGCGACUUUGUGUCGUCUAUCUAGACGGUACGGUUAUUGUAUGUGUCAUUUCCAACUGAGAGAUAUAUUAGACCUUCUUUCUACUUUUUUUUUUACUUUGCCUUGGUCACACUUUGAACAGGAAGCGUACCAAUUUCGCUUUCUGUCAUUGUUGAUGUCCGCCAUUUUGAACUAUUUUUCAUAAAAAAUGUAUGAAAGUUGCACGAUUUUAAAUUGUAGGGCUAUCUACACACACAAUUUGUGUCGCAGGGAUGGCGUCAGCAAGUUGCAUACAACAAUCAUAAGCAAAAAUCGCAUUGUGUAGAUGGGCCUUAAAAGGCAUUGAACCAGACUAGUUUGAUAUACCAACAACUUUUUCCGAUUCCGAUGCCAAAUUUCCCAAUUUUGAAACACCCCUUGGAGAAUGUAAUUCCCUCGAUGCAAUGCAGGUGGUUUUGGCUUCAUUUUUUUUAAGCAUUUUAUAAAGGGUAUGCUAUGUACGUGCUAAGAAGCUAGUUUUGUUGGCAUGAUUUUUUUUGAAAAUUUCAGCGGCCAUGUUAUUCGAGCCAAAACAAGCUAGGUUACAUCAUGGAUUGUAAAAUAACAUUUAUUUUAUUAUCCAUGGUUAUAUGAAGUAAGGUUUUCUAUGUAAAAAAUUACUUUCUAUUCAAUACUGUAUACAGUUCAGUGGCUCAGACAACUUCAGAUUUUCGCCCGAAGACCUGGGAACGAAGUUGCCGAAGAACAUGCAUAAAUUAUGAAAUAAAUUAAUACUUCAUAUUUGCUGCCGAGCGUAGCGAGGCAGCACACUAUUCUUGACACGCGGUGGUUUCUCCAGAGUCCACUCGACCCAGUCUUUCGCGCGAGUUAUGUAUUGUCGAGAUCGAGAUCUUGUGUCUGUCUGUCUGUAAAGAUGUUUGUCGUAGUCCGGGGGGAAUAAUUAAGCUUCAGGAACGUUUGUUAAAUGAGGGGAGCGGUCAAAACACGAAGAUUUUCAAGCUUUUAAAUACGGAUCACAAGACAGCAAGAGAUCAAAAAUAUUCGGAAACAUUCAGGUAAGUUCGGCUCUAUUUUUUUCUUGUUAUAUACAUCAGGCAAUGACAUUUUUAGUGUUCAAUCUAGAGGCAAACAAUGUGCUUUUAUGAGUUUAUCAGCACUUUUAACUGCCCAAAAUAUACCACUGAUCGAUUGGUCAAAAACAACAUUUAAUCGUCUUAUUACAAGGAGACAAAAUGUACUUGUAAGCUCUGUCUUAGAACCUGCUGUCGAAUUCUUAUCUGUCGAUAAUUUACCUAAACUUGUCAGUGUUUCAAGUUGUAUACAAACAUGUUUCUUACAAGAUAUGUGAUUCUGUGAUCGACACAAGAAAUAUACCACAUGUAGUGUAUGCAAAAACAACUAUAACGCCUGUGAAUCCUUUUGAUACACAAAAUAAUGAUACUAUAAACAGUCUGCCCAUGGUGGUAGGACAAAAUAAUAGCAUUCUAUAUCCAUUGUAGUAGAGUCCAUUGAGGCAAAAAUAUCAUUGAUCUGCCUAUUGUGGUAGAGCCCAUUCAAGGCAAAAACUAUACAUCUGCCCAUUGUGCCAAUGUGGUAGAGCCCAUUGAGGCAAAAACUAUAGAUCUGCCCAUUGUGGUAGAGGCCAUUGAGACAAAAACUAUAUAUCUGUCCAUUGUGGUAUCUAGUGCCCAUUGAGGCAAAAACCAUUGAUCUGCCUGUGGUCUAGCCCAUUGAGGCACCAACUAUCAGCGAUCUGCCCCAGAGAAUCGAUAAUAGCAGGCAGAUAUUCAUAUAUUCGUGUUCACAGACUGUAAAAACAAUCGACUUCAAAAGAAAUUAAUUGGGCAGAACACGAAUAUAUGAAUAUCUGCCCUCCCCCCAAUUAUCGAUAUUCCGGCGCCUCUGAUCUGCCCAUUGCGAUGGAGCCCAUUGAGGCACCAACUAUCAGACUAGGGGUCAGCCAGGGGGGGGGGGUCGUAGUAUCCUAAAGAGCUGAUAAAUAUGGAUCAAAAUACCUAUUAUUAUGGUCAAAAUGUUACAUAAUACCUAAAGCAAUCAGAAGCUGUAUACCAGACCUAAUACCCCAAAUUAGUCAUAACAUUUAAAGUAAAUAUACAGUAUACUCGAAUUAAGUACCAUUGGACCCUAUAUACAGUACACAAAACCCUAUGGUCGACCCUACAGACUGCUCUGCCCAUUGUGGUGGAGCCCAUUGAGGCACCAACUAUCAGUGAUCUGCCAUUAUGUGCAAAGGCAAUGAGUUUGUAGUGUUCCAUUUCUAGAUGUUUAUAGCUUUAAACAAAUGUUGUCUGCACAUAUAUUGACUUACCAGCAAUUACAUGUAAUAUUACUAACAUUUUAACUGACUUUUGUAUAAGAUCUGAGAUAUGUCCAUUGUUAGCAUAAUAUGAAAUAAUUCUAGUGGCCUACAUAUGGCUGUGUCACUACGAUAAUGCUCACAAUUUCUUUCUUAUCAUAUAUUUUUGCAGUUCUGACUGAGAACAAUCUUAAUCAUGUCAAUGAAUGGUGUCAUCUGAAGCAUAUUAAACAGAAAUGUCAGCAAAUACAUUUUGUCUACCCAUCGGCAGAUUGUUCGGUUGGUCUGUGAAGGGGAAGCCAUGAAGGUGGCAUUACAUGUAAAACGAUAAUUGGAACAAAAACCGACUUUAUAGUAUUUUUAUAUAAACAUUGUUCUGUAUUCAGUGGCAAACUCACACAUGUGAUCACCAAGUUUAUACUUUAUAGUGCACUUUUUAUAAGAUGAGAUGUAAGAUACAAUCAGGGACGCCGGAACUGGGGGGGGGGCAGGAAGGGCAGCCGCCCCCGUUGCCCUUUACCAGGAGGGGCAAGGGGGGCAAAGGUGUCCUUUCAAUUUAAAGGAUUGCCUUGGCAAAAUAGCAAAUUGUCAGAAAUGUUAGUGCAAUUCUUUUACUAAUUUGCUUCAGAAAACGCAAGAAAUACAGUCAUCGAGCUUCAAGAAUAGCAUAAUCGCCUGGCAGAGAACCCCCUCACACCCCUAUCAUCCAAUAUAUAGAAAACAUGAUUAGGUGAAGUUCAACUCCCGAUGUUUUGCAAACAUCUCUUAGUAUAUAUCAAUUCAAAAGUGCCCUUUCACCAAAAUCUGCCACCCUUGCCUUCACAUCGUUCCGGCGUCCCUGGAUACAAUUGUAGAAGGUAAUUGAUGUAGAACAUGUGUAAGACAUUAAAUCAUACAUACAGUGAAAAAGACACUUUUUGGUUGUAGUACAUCCUGCAUGUACAUAUCGGCAGCAUUUUACUUGCGAUAGUAACUCCUAGUUAAUAAUAAUACUGUAUUUUUGUUGAUUUUAAAAUGUUUAGCGAGCAAACAUUGUUAUGUUACAAUCGUGGUUGGGUCAAACAAUAUGUGGAAAGCAAAAGUAGCGAAG
This is a non-coding RNA of Paramuricea clavata, 6348 nucleotides long. The record is from the annotation of a GenBank genome assembly. Lineage: Eukaryota; Metazoa; Cnidaria; Anthozoa; Malacalcyonacea; Plexauridae.